CGGCUUCACAAUACUGUGAUUAAAAGUACAAUCUGUUCUUAUUCUUAAGAAAUGAGAAACAGAAAACCUGUGGAGAAACCAAAGAGUGGAGUUGAAGAUAGGAACUCAGGUCUUCUGUUUCAUUUUAUAAUCAAGAUGGAGUUGUGCAGAGAUGAGGCUGAUAAAGAAUUUGUGUGGUCUCUGUGGAAACACCUGCAAGUGUCAAGUCCAGAUCUUAUGCAAGCUGUCGGCUUGGUUGUGGAAAGAGAAAAACAGAAAGCUGAAGUCAAGGACAGAAGAGUUUUAGAGCUUUUGGAAGCCAAAGACAGCAAAAUAGAAACACUAGAACAGAAACAAAAGGAGAAGGUGGAAGGAGAGGAGAAGUUAAAGAGUGUGAGACUCACAGAACAGCACGAGGAGAUAAACAACUUAAUGCAGAGAAAAAAUGCUGUGGAGGAGGAAAAUGCCUGUCUGAAGAAUGAAUUCAGUACCUUGAACCAGAAAUUUAAAGAUAAAAGCCAAGAACUUAAGGACACUGAGGAGUGUGCACAGAAGAAGGAAGAGCAAAACAGACUGGUUAUAAAAAACCUGGAGGAGGAAAAUAAGGGAUUAAAUACAUGCUGUGCUGACCUACUAAGUGACCUGGAGAAACUGAGGAAGCGGGAGGCACAAUGGAAAAUGGAAAAAUCUGGCAGUGAUGCCAUAAUAAAGAAUUUGGAAACUGAUUUAGCAGAGGCAAGAGAACAAAUAAAAGAGUUACACAGUAUAUGCGGUAACUUGUCAUCUCAGGUAGCUGUGAAACAGGAAGAACUCUUCCAGAAGAAUUGUGAUGUGAUCAAAGCUAAGAAGGAGUUACAGGAGCUGCAGAAUCUUUGUGGACAAAACACUGAAAAUACAGCACAGCAGGCUGAGCUGAUAAAGCAGGUUCAGGCUCUCAAUGCUAAUACACAAAAAGUAAUGAAAGACCAAGAAGAUACUCACACAGCUGAAAUAACAUUAUAUCAAAAACUUUAUAACGAGUUGAGUUUAUGUUUUGAAACUGUUAAAACAAGUGAAAUUCAACUGCAGCAGAGCUGUGCCUCUCUUCAGGAUCACUUACUUGAAAAAGAUAAAACAAUUUGUUUGUUGCAAGUCCAACUUCAGGAAGCACAUAAUGCUUCUAAUACAGUACAUCAGAAUUCUUCUCCAAAAUAUCAGGUGCAGGAACCACCUGUGAAACGUUCAAGGUCUCUGUCCCCAAAGAGCCCUUUUAGAGAGUCAGAGGAGCUAAGGAAGCUUAAAAUAGCUGAAAGGAAGAUUGAAAACUUAGAGAAGACACUACAGCUAAAGACUCGAGAAACUGAUGAGCUAAGAGCAGCCUAUGAAAAACACAAAGAAAGGCUGCAGAUGUUACAGACCAACUACAGAGCACUAAAAGAACAAUUAAAGCAGUGGGAAGAGGGUGAUACCAGGCUUGAAAAUAGUAAAAGCGGAUACCAGCAUGCAGACUCCUGUCAGCUUUGUCAAGAGGAUCCUGACAUGGUGUGGAAUGAACUGGCUUUUUUCAAAAGGGAACACAAAAAGCUGUUGACUGAAAAACUGAAUCUUGAAGAAGAAUUGGAUCAAAUGAAAAUACACCAAUCCGUGGAGCCACUUUUUAAACUUAGUGAAGAUGAUGGGGUCAAAAAUAAUACUCUGGUGAGGAAUAUGAGAGAAGUUUCAUAUCAGAUGUUACAGAAGAUGCAACAACUAGAAAGAAGAUUCAAUGCUAUUGAGGGGGAAUUAAGGAAACAGAAAGAAGUAAAUAAAGACUUAUCGAAUCAGAAAAUUUAUUUGAAAGAAUCUUUAAAAGUACAAAAGGAAGAUGCAGACACAAGAGAAAGAGAGCUGGAAAUGCUACUUAAGAGGAUUUGUGAAAUAAAAAAAGAAAAAUCAGAACUUCAGUUAGUGAUUGAUGAGAAGGAAAAAGAAGCUGCCUCUUUGAAGAGGCAAGUGGCAGAAGCUAACAGGUUGAGAAAUGAAAGUGAAGAUUUGCUGAGUCAAGUGCAAGAGCCGAAAUGCUUGCCGGAUAAAGCCAAAGCAGUGACAACCUCCGGGCAAUGUAAUUGCAAGAUAACAGGCACCAAGGUUAAAUUAAAAACAGCCAAGGAAAAGAGCUCUUUGGGACAUCAUGGAGCUUUUCUCAAACAGUCCAUCAAGGUUAUGAGUAAUGUAUUUGAGAAGUUCAGUAAGGACGGCUGGGAGGAUGUGAAUGAAAGCAGUGACUCUGAGAUACCAAAUUCUGAAAGUUUGGAAACGGUGAUUAUGAAGACAGUGCAAAACAUUGAUCCACUGCCAGACAGAAGUAAACAACAAGAAAAAAAGUCCUGCAACACUGUUCAUUUAGAAGGCAAAAACGAGCAAUAUAAUCAAAAGUGCCAUUCACAGAAUAAAGAACUAGAAAAGUUACAUUCCGAGAGGAGGAAGAUCUGCUAUCUUGUAACAUCACAUCCAUCGAUUCUAAGCAAAGUGAACAGAGCAAAAAGGAGAAAUAUCACCGUCCAGAAACCAGGCUACUCUGUUACUCUGCUGCAGGAAAGAAUUAAGUCAUUGCAGAAGCAGAUAGCUGUUUUACAGAAUGAAAAAAAGACUGCAGUGGCUUCUGUGAAGGAGGUGAAAGAAACCAAUGAAAAACUAACAAGUCAGCUACAUUUGGCUAAUCAGAGACUUCAAACUAGUAAACUGACCAUAGAGAUGUUGACCUCCAACCUGGCCAAGUGGCAACAGGAGAAGGAAGAUUUACAAGGAAAAUUAAAGUUGAGAGAACACCUGUCUCAAACUGCUGGCAAGAGUAAAGCCACACCAGCUCCUUCAAAGAACACUGAUUUAGAGAUGAAACAGCUGCAGUGCAAACUAAAGAAUUCGAAUAAUGAAAUCACUAAGCAAUCGACCACCAUUAAGUCCCUAAAAAACGAAGUUCAGGAAAAAGAAGAACGGAUUCGGGAACUACAAGCAAAAAUUUCUCGAUUGGAGAGGGACAUUACUAUGAAAAGACAUUUGAUAGAAGACCUAAAGUCUCAUCUGAAAGCAAGUCAAGAAAAUGAGAAAACCUCAAAUGAAACAUUGGAAAGUCUUGAGAGAAAGGUAAAGGCACUGGCUGAAGACUGUUCAGGCAAAAAAACUUCCAUUGACACACUGAAACAAAGACUUAAUGUAGCUACGAAAGAGAAGUCUCAGUAUGAGCAGAUGUAUCACAAGGCUAAAGAUGAGUUGGAGAAAAAGGAUCUCAAGCUUACCAAACUAGAGAGCAAAAUCAUUGAGACUGAAUGUGCUAUGACUGAACUUGAGACUGCUACAUCUUAUCAACUACAUAGCUUGGCUAAACAGAGUGCAGAGGCUUUGGAAAUGGUACAGAAGAAGUUGCUGCUCACAAGUGACAAAGUAGAAGAAUUCAAGACAUUUGUAAAGACUCUCAGCAGAGAGUUACAGCACAGCAUACAAGAGCUGAGAACAAAAAUCAAAAAGGCAAAAAAAGUGGGCAAGAUGAAAACAUGUAAAAACUGUCUUUCCCAAGAGUCUGUUCAGUUGGCAGCAUCUAUCCUUAAUGUUUCAACAACUGAUCUUGAGGAGAUACUAGAUGUAGAAGACGAGGAGGAAACAGCAAAGACAAAAAUGGAAUUUGAAAAAGAUAAAGAAUGGCUGCAGCGUAUACAGAAACUUACAGAAGCACAGGUGUCUACUCACUGCCUGUCCUCUGAUCACACCCACAUAUUGACCCGUGCACAAGCAGCUGCACACACUCACCACUGCAACUCAUCACCAGGUAUUUCAAGUACCUACACCUUAAAAAGCAGCACCAGCGUAGUCUAAACCAUAUUGUGGGCACCACUGGCAUUGAUAUCAGAUCAUCAGAAAGUAACCAUGAUUUUGUUCUCACUAUGAGAGUAAGAGCUUAGUCCUGUGCAUUGACAAUCCACUGCAGUAUAAAUCUGUGUUUUAUCUCAUACACACAAGCAAAACCAUGUUACAUCACUUGUUCUGAACUGAAAACGAGGAGAAAUUGGCUUGAUUACUCAGAAUAAGAAUACAGAUGGGCCCACACAUCUUUAUAUAAUCAUGUAUAUACAGUCAUCACAAAGCGGAAUAAGAACAAAGAAGUCAGGAACAACAAUGAAGUGAAGCAUUUCUCUAAUUUAUUUUUUUUUAACUUUGACUUUUAUUUUAUGGUGAAAUUAGGAGGCUUUGGUUAUUGGUCUGAGUUUCUAGUUUUAUUUCAGAUUAUUUUUUUGUGGUUCACUUACUUCAAUUUAAAUCAGCUCUGCAGUGCAUUUGAAUAGUUUUCUUGGGCAAGUGUAUUAUACUGAUGAUCCAUAUGGGGAGAUUUAAAAUAGUUGUAACCACUAAUUUAUGUACUCUAAAAUUUAAAUACCUUUAUUUUUAUGAUAGCACAUUUUAGAUUUUGUAAAGCAGAAGACAAGUAAUGCUACACUCUGCGAAUGGAGACACUAUGUCUCAUCAGAACAACAACGUUGCCUUGCAUUCAUUAUAAGUCUUUUCACGGGAAAAUAUGUGUAUAUUUAUACACUUGUGUUGAGGGAGACUCAGUCAUGUGGUGUAAGGUCGAUAAGUAUUACUAGUUUGUUUUUCACAGAAGGGAUAUCCAAAAGAAGCAAACUUAAGGUCAGAAUAAAUAGGUGAGAGAAACAGAAUUAACUGUCACCAUUUCUGACUUUUUAGGAUCAUGUUACCUUACAUAUAUCCAUACACCAAGGUAUCUGUCUAAUAAGUUGUGUAAGAAAUAUGCCUUUCAUUCAUAUGACUUUCUAGUAUCAAAGAAUGAAUCUGUAAAUCUGGAAAGAUGUAUAAAUAAAUAAAAUUCUUUAAAUACACAGGUAGUGGAUUUAAAGCUUGCGCUUUCAAAUGCUGUGAAUUUAUACAAGUCAAUUAAAUACUGCUUCUGUUAAAGCCUACCAUAAUGUACUGAUUUAGGAUCACUGCCCAUUCAGUUAGAUGGAUUGUGGCACAGAUAAUUAUAAAGCAUUUGAAAGAAGUACUAUUAUGUAUUAAAAUAUCUAACUAUCGUGGUAUAAACAAGUUUUGACUCUUUAGGUGUGCACUUAGCACUCACUGAACUUCCAAAGCCUUCCCCAAGCACAUGGCAGGUUUGGAAGCUGAGAUAAAUAGAGACAUCUUCAAAAGUUGUGAAGUUCUAGAGAAAAAUGUAAAGGAAAGCUUCCCUGUAUAAUUACAGAGCCAUCAUUAAAAGUAAAUCUUACAGGCUUCUAUUAAAGGUGAAGACUCUAAAGAUCAUCCAGUUCUGGGUGUCUGUAUAGAAAGAAAACCAGAUAGAACCAUACAGCACUUUCUCUGAAAACAACAAAUGUUGAAAGAAUGACAUAAUGUUCCACUUCCAAAUGCUCUUGAUUUAAAUGAGUCAUUUAAAUGGAAAGGGUUCUUGAAAUAUCACUUUGCUAUCACGUGGAAGCCACAGAGAGAAGUGAUCAGCAAUAAAAUUUAGCUAGAAUUAUAUGAGCCAGAGACAUCAAUAAGAAACCAUUCAUCUCAGGUACAACAUUAAGGAGGUGAAAUCUAUCAGAAAUGAAUGAAGUCAAGCUAGGCCAGAAGAAUUAGAGACUUUGAAGUAAUGAUAUAGUGUUCUCGUAGAAAACAUAUUUAGACAAAGAGAGAGAGCAAUUAGAGUGAACAGGAUGCUGGAAUCUGUGUUUUUAAAGCAUGAUAGCAAAUAAGUCUCACAGAAUGUCAGGUAAGAUUAUGUCUUAUAUUACGCUGAAUAGAUUUGUGCUCAGUGAAUUCGAUCCCUCUAUUCCCCCAAAAGUCAUCACAAUAGCACACAGGAGAAAACUGACAGGUGUAGAUGACUACUAGAAAAUUCUUACCAUAGGCAUAAGUUAUUUAUGACAGAUGGAGACAUGUCUGGCCAGAAGUACCAGCCCUUUAAAACUCCAUUUCCUGUAGAAAAGGGAAAUAAUGUGUAUUAUUGUCCUUUUUCUGUAACUACAAAGUGACUGUUCAGCAACAUACAGAAUUGCCAUUAUAGACACUUCACAAUGGAUGAUUGCUAUUGAUAAGAUUUUCCUUGCUACCAUUUUAGACUUUUUUUCUGACUUGUUAGUAAUUACAAAUAUCAGUAUAGAGAUUCAUAUCUGUAUAUCAGUUCACACAUUACAUCAGCAUUUGUAUUUUAUGUACUUUUAUGUCUGGGUUUUUUAUUUGUUUCUUUUGUAAUUUUUGUUUCAUAUAAAUAGGAAACAGGCAGUACUCCAUCUGGUGUAGGUACUAUACAAUUUUCUCUUUAAAAUGGAAUAAAAAAGUGAAAAAAUAAAAUCAGGGCAGCAACACUGAACUAGACAGGAAUUCUAGAUGAAAAAGUAUUGCAUUCAACUACAGUUGUGAAAAGCACAAGCAGGUGAUUGGCUUGUUUCACCAAAUGCUAUAUUUUACCAAAUUUUUUUCUGGUGGCCUUAUUAAGGUAAAAUUCUCUCUCCUUCUGAUAUGAGAAAAAGCUGUUAACUGCUGGUGUGAGGCUGAUCCCUCAGUCACCACUGGUCUCUCCAGGAGUUCAAGGAAGCUGACCGAGCUCUGUGAAGCUGAUAGAGACUUUUCGACAGUGAACGAAAACUGCCUUGCUCUCCUCUGUGGCACAGCACUGGCCACUCUGAGUGGUGCUGCCAUUACCAGUGUUCUAUACCACCUUUAAAAAUACUUCCCAGCAAACAGUGAACUGACACAUCAAGACUGUGAAAGAAAAGCCCUUAAGCAUUAAGGAGAUGACACUGAAAAAUAUACCAAAUAUCUUUCUUUUAAGGCAUCAGUUAUGCAAAUACAACUCUUAUACAGAGGAGUUAGAAAAGAGGGUUUCAUUUUUCUCUGUAGAUAUCACAGAAUCACAGAAUCACAGAAUAUUCAGAGUUGGAAGGGACCCACAAAAAUCGUCAAGUCAAACUCUUAGCCCUACACAGGACCAUCCCCAAGAGUCACACCAUGUGCUUGAGAGUAUCAUCCAAACACUUCUUGAACUCUGGAAGGCUUGGUGCUAUGACCACUUCCCUGAGGAGCCUGUUCCAGUGCCCAAACACCCUCUGGGUGAAGAACCUUUUUCUAAUAUCCAACCUAAACCUCCCCUGACACAACUUCAGGCCAUUCCCUUGGGUUCCGUCACUGGUCACCACAGAGAAGAGAUCACUGCCUGCCUCUCCUCUUCCCCUCAUGAGGAAGUCAUGACUGCAAUGAGGUCUUCCCUCAGUCUCCUCUUCUGCAGGCUACAAUGUUUUGGUAUCAUGUUUUAGAGAGGCAGACGUUUGUGGCAUAUUCCAAUUCAUGCACUUGGAGGUUUGAGGUUUUAUUUUGCUUUGAGUGUUUUUUUGUGGGUUUGUGUUUGGGGAUUUUUUUUUUUGGUUUUGUUUUAUUUUGGUGUUUUGGUGGUGGGGGUAGUUUGGGGGUUUGGGUCUUUGUUUGUUUGUUUAUUAUACAAGUUUUCAUGUGUGAGUCUAAGGCAAUUGACACAGCACUGAAAAUUAUACUGGUAGUUCUGUCUCAUCCUCCUGAGAGUAGUGAACAUACACUCAUAUACUACUAUUUCUGCAUGCCCUAGAGGUGACUGUAACCUUUUAUUGAUCAGCUGAUUGAAGAGAAAUGACAGAGAUGCUGGUACUGCAGUUUACAUCAUUAACAUGUUUCCUUUUGCCUCACACUUAAUGGAUGUCAUACUGGAAAAAUUAAAUGAGAAGAAGAAACUGGUAGAAGAGUACAGUUCUCUCAUGAAGCAAACUCUAUGAUAUUGCUAAGACC
Pseudopipra pipra is the source of this 7746-nucleotide RNA transcript. It is a transcript of the gene named centlein, with no coding region annotated. The transcript has 27 exons. The record is from RefSeq and is a predicted model, not a curated record. Lineage: Eukaryota; Metazoa; Chordata; Aves; Passeriformes; Pipridae.